RNAcentral lists this ribosomal RNA (440 nucleotides) under uncultured bacterium. RNAcentral describes it as "partial 16S ribosomal RNA". It matches the Rfam family "Bacterial small subunit ribosomal RNA", at positions 338 to 795 of the family's 1533-position model. The record is from RNAcentral.
CCUACGGGUGGCAGCAGUGGGGGAUAUUGCACAAUGGGGGGAACCCUGAUGCAGCGACGCCGCGUGGGUGAAGAAGCGCCUCGGCGCGUAAAGCUCUGUCAGCAGGGAAGAAAAUGACGGUACCUGAAGAAGAAGCCCCGGCUAACUACGUGCCAGCAGCCGCGGUACUACGUAGGGGGCAAGCGUUAUCCGGAUUUACUGGGUGUAAAGGGGGCGCAGACGGCGAUGCAAGCCAGGAGUGAAAGCCCGGGGCCCAACCCCGGGACUGCUCUUGGAACUGCGUGGCUGGAGUGCAGGAGGGGCAGGCGGAAUUCCUGGUGUAGCGGUGAAAUGCGUAGAUAUCAGGAGGAACACCGGUGGCGAAGGCAGCUUACCAGACUGUUACUGACGCUGAAGCACGAGAGCGUGGGUAGCGAACAGGAUUAGAUACCCUUGUAGUC